This is a long non-coding RNA of Carassius carassius (crucian carp), 448 nucleotides long. RefSeq lists it as uncharacterized. Lineage: Eukaryota; Metazoa; Chordata; Actinopteri; Cypriniformes; Cyprinidae. The transcript has 2 exons. The record is from RefSeq and is a predicted model, not a curated record.
AACAUACCUGACUCAUCGACAGAUUGGACACCUACAAACCGUCACACGAUAAUAAAAACUGAUCUCGGGGUGUUAUCUUUCACAAGUAAGACUCAACUCCUUAAGGAAAGCUGAGGAAAGCUGUUCUCUGCAUUUCCAAGAGACAAGACUAUACCUCCCUAGACUAAUGUUGUGUUUGUACUAAACCCAGAGCAGCCCUGAAUGAAUCGACAGAAUGACCCUGCUCAUAUUCUAAUACUAUAGACUGCAUUUAAAAAGCUUUGCACAGACUGUUUAAUGCUGAUAAUGUACUGCGUGUGUCUUUACACAAAAAUUACAUGAUGUAAAUAGCCUAGAAAUGAAAAACACAGGAACUCAUAGUGAGUCCAGCUGCAAUAUCAUGAUGAAAUCAUUGUGAUGUUGUUAUAAUGAUUUUUAAUUUUGAUUAAUAUAAAGUUUUUUGAGGGGA